Rosa chinensis is the source of this 2032-nucleotide long non-coding RNA. RefSeq lists it as uncharacterized. NCBI's taxonomy places the organism in Eukaryota, Viridiplantae, Streptophyta, Magnoliopsida, Rosales, Rosaceae. The record is from RefSeq and is a predicted model, not a curated record. The transcript is spliced from 2 exons.
AAUUCGAUCUGAUUCGACUCGGUGGAGAAGGUGGCGACUACAAGGCGACUCGUAACAAGGUUGAACUCGUAGUAAUGGUGUGAGUCAUAUUAUGGGUUGAGAGAUUCUGGGAAUUUUUCAUUGGUUAGUGAGGUUAGUCGAUCGAAUUUGAAGUGUUAAUGAAUUGAUGCCUCUUGAUUUGAGUUUACAACUAGAAGUCUAUGACUAACCUCAUGACUAAAAGGAAGGAAACCUUAGGUAAAGAGCUUGUUAUCUUCUUCAGGAAUUGAUUGCCUCCUUUGCAUAUUGUUGAUUUUUGUCACAACAUUGAAUCCUUACCAAACUAGACUGGAUUUCUUUUAGCUUAUGUCUUUCUUAUGAGCAGUGAAUUUUAAAUGUUCCAUUGGCUUUGAAAACUAAAGGGUUUUUUUCUCUCCUAGUUUCAACAAGACAAUGAAGGUCAGUCUCUGCUUUCUAGGAUUUCCUGUCUGAUUUCUAUGCAUGAUUAAUUUGCAGUUGGUUGCUUUUGACUACAUGUUUGUUGGUGUUUUGGGCAUUCUUUGUCAAGAAAGGAAAAAAGGGUGCCAGGUAUGAUUCCUUUAAUUCCACCUCCAUCAAUGCUUAGCACUGUCACCAUCUUUCUUUUUUCCAAGCUAGUCGGCAUUAUAUUAGUUUAGUUUGUGAUAUACAAAUCCUAAAUCAAGACUAUGAUGUUUGGUGAGUGCAACCUUUGCAAAUGUGAGUUUUGAAUAUGAAAACCCACAUCACUUAUAAUUUACUUGAUCAAUUGAUGGUCGAAAACAUGCUUGAAACUGUUUUAAUUUGGUCAACAAUUGCAUGCUUUGGGAAGCCUUGCUUGAGAAAUUUGACUUCUUUUUACUUGCCAUUAUUAGUGGAAUGUGCAAGUUCUGAUUUUUAGGAUGAAUUUGAUCCCCCAAUAAUAGAGGCCAUAGUCUUUUCACGAUGGAAAUGUAGUAUGCCUGGGAAUUCUGGUUUAUUUAUGGUCUAAUACUUCUUAGACUUUUGGUCCCCUUGCAAUGUUAGGUGCUUUAGGUGUUUCUUUCUUGUUCAUUUUUUUUAAGUAGUUAACUUGUUAAGUCAUUUUGAUAGCAUUUUAUUGAUGUCAUAAGCUGCAACAAUAUCUUUUCUUAACCCUUUUUUUUUGUCCGAUUUCAAACAAUAUCAUGCAAUUUCCUACUUGAUAAAGUCACCAGAUUUUGAUUAAUUUCUACAUCAUUGGGGCCUUGGACUGCCUAUCACUAUAAUAGCCAUGCAAUAUUUUUUUUACAAUCUGGUCUAUCAUUUUAAGUUGGUCACACUCACAGGCCAUUUAGUGAUGAUGUAUAGAUGGUGAUUUGAAUUCUGCAAGUUAUAUGGCAUGAUGCUUGAGCCUUUGCUGAAAAUUUAUCUGCAAGCAAGACUCUCUGCUUUGAAAACACCGUAUCCAUUUCAGUGGCGGAGUCAGAAAUUUAAGUCUACUGGGGCACUGAAAAAACAAAUAUCAAAACAUAAAAAAUCAUUAAGUAUAAGUUCUAUCUAUUAUAAUGGUAAUUAUUCUCAACGAAAUUUCAUAUUUUGAAAUUAUUUCAUGAUAGUCUCAUCAUCUGUACUAGUAAACAUAUCUUCCCAAUAUAUGAAAUCAAGCAAUUAUUCAUAAACUCGUCACUCGUUCGAAUGUGUAAAUGAGUCUUCACAAUGUUCAUAGUAGAAUAUGAAACCAAAUUGUGCUUCUUUGUCACUGCUACCAGAUUUAAUUGUAGUUGAUGAGCAAAUAAUGCACAUAAAAGACACAUUUAUUUUCAUUCAAAAUAGGAGUAGUGAGAAUCAACAGAAACUACUGUGACAAUAUUAUUUGGAAAAGAAUUGGCCGAGAAUUGUUACUUAACAAUAUAUAUACAUAUUUUGAUGUUAAAAAUCUGUAAGUAAGAAGAAAUAAGAAUCAUUAAUUAUAAUUAAUUCUACUAUAUAUUAGAAAAUAGAAAUAUUAUAUAAUAUAUCAUCGAGAUCAAUAAGGGGAGCACCCUCCAAAAAAACAGAAAAACAUAAAAAAAAA